GCUUUUGAAAAUUGCUUUUGCGGAACGCGGCUGAAAACACGGAAGCUUUAAUGAAAGUUAACCGAACCACCUAUUUUGUCCUCGUCCUUUUCUAAAAUUUACACUGAACCCAGACAUUUUUCUUCUUCUGUGCGAGGCAAAACCAUCGCACUCUCCUCCUCUUCCUCCCUUCGCCGUCAAAAACUUGAGCAUGAUUCAUACUCAUCGGAAGAGAUCGAGAGAGGGCGCUGACAUUUUUUUCCCUCUCAGCCUCUCUCCUCGACCAUCGAGGCAUCGACGGCCCUCGCUCUCCUCGAUGGUAACUCGGUGACGGACUGCAGUCGAAUAGUUGAUCGAUCUGUCUGGGUUUUACUUUCUGGGUUUUCAAUCAGUCUCUCUUGGUUGCUCUCUUCCUCAAGCAGCAAAGCAGAAAUUCUUGGUUGCUUUCUGGGUUCGAUUUCUGAUUCUUCAAGCUUAAAGUCCCUUUUUGAAACUCUUGGAAUGGUACACGCCCCGUUCGCUUUACUUCCGAUGCCCUUUCCAGAAACUCAGUUGAAUCAAGCAAAUGAGUUAGCCCCCAUAUUCAAUGAACUUGUUGAUCGAGUGAGUUUGGAUGCAAAAUUUCUGCAGGAUUCAUUGUCCAGAAAUUGAUGCUGAGGCGGAGCUUUUACCAGAUGGAACACUUGUUUUGUAUGUACCUUUACUCCUAUUUAUCGAUUAAAGAAGAAUGAGAUGUUCUUUCUCAUGGUGAAUAUCUGUUCAGUAGCAAAAGGAGGCAGCUGUUUUGAUUGGCUAUUCUCAAGUGUAUAAAGGCUUGUGUAUUGAUGUGCUUCUUUUGUGGGUCACUUUAGUUGGCUUAUCCUGCAAUGUGCUAUUAAGUACUAUUCCUUACUCUUUAAGCUCACAGUCAUGUUAAUGCUGCCUUGAUUUGGUAUAUCUGAUUUGGAAGAUAUACUCAACGAGAUCUUGAUUUUGAUGAACGUGUAAAUUACUCAAGUGAAGAGAUAGAGGACAAUGAACAUGAAGGAGAUGAUCCGGGAAGACAAGAAAUGGAGGGUGUUAAGAAAUACAAUUGCACAAAGUCUAAUGAAUGCAUCUACUUAGCAUUUAGUUGCAAAUUUCAAGUAACUUUAAUAAUUUUGUGUAAUGGUUCCCGUUGAACUAUGGUCGGGAAAUUAAUCCAAAUAUUCUAGACUUAUUUUGUGUAAUAGUAAAACAUAAUAUGCAUAUUGAAGGGUUUAAAGUAAAUCUUUUAUUUGGUCCAA
This is a long non-coding RNA of Rosa rugosa (rugosa rose), 1244 nucleotides long. RefSeq lists it as uncharacterized. The transcript is spliced from 3 exons. Lineage: Eukaryota; Viridiplantae; Streptophyta; Magnoliopsida; Rosales; Rosaceae. The record is from RefSeq and is a predicted model, not a curated record.